Molecule: long non-coding RNA, 1005 nt
Organism: Cloeon dipterum
Lineage: Eukaryota; Metazoa; Arthropoda; Insecta; Ephemeroptera; Baetidae
Exons: 3
Source: RefSeq, a predicted model, not a curated record
GCACGCGGCAAGCAGUGAACUCCUCAAAAGCAUAGUGUAAAAAGGCAGCCGCAGAUAACUGCGACUCGGAAAAGCUUUUAUCCUUAUGGCCGUUUUAUAUACUUAAAUAAUGGGGAUAAAUUGUGAGGCAGUCAACACCUUUCGUCCGAAGACAUAAAUUAACUUGUCUCUCGAAUUGGGCGGCUGCGAGAGCCGGUCGGUCGGUCGGGAGACGCUCGCUAUAUAUGCUCCCUUUCUAUCUCCGCGAGCCGAGAGACGAGCAGCCACAGACGAAGCAGCAGGCCGCGUCACGCAACAGGUUUUUGCUCUUUUCGGUGAAAAAGUGCGGCAAGCAGGACACCUUUAUCGCUCGACCUGGCAAGUUCAGUCAGUCAGCACUCGAUCAUCUCAACGGGCUAACCAGUCCGGCUGGCUGCCAGGCAGCAGAUGAGCCGGUAAUAAGUCUCCUGACCUGGCACAAGUCUGCUGGCAGAGAUGGAUGCUGCGGCUAUCUGCGCUGACACGCCAAGAUUGAAGACUCUCUCUGAAAUACUCACACACAUGCCCUCGAGCAAGCCUCUCGCGUAUAAUAAUAAAUGGUUCGUUUAGCUGCAGCGCCUCCGCCAACUGACUGACACCUCUCGGCACCACGUGCUGCCUAAUUACGGCACACGCAAUUUCCAUUAGGCAGCCAGCGCAUCUCUAACACCCCAAUUAGCUCGUACCAAGCCAAUUGUGUUCUUGGUUAGGGGCUUGUGUCUAGUUUUCUGACUUAAAUGUAAAAGCUUUUGGAACAAUUAUAUUUUGGAGUAAUUAUCUUGAUUGAAUCAAGAUUUUUACUCCAAACAAUUCCUUUAUGUAACGAGUUAAAAUAAGUCAGUCUUAGUAAAAUAAAAUAAAAUUUUUGAGCUAAAAAUUAAUACAAUUGAAAAAAAUUACCUUGUUCUGCACACAAAAUACAAUAAAGCAACAGCCGAAUAAUUUUUGCAAGUUUUGGUGAACCCUUUGCAGAGGGCAGUGUUUUUC